Molecule: ribosomal RNA, 497 nt
Filed under: uncultured bacterium
Lineage: Bacteria
Description: partial 16S ribosomal RNA
Rfam family: Bacterial small subunit ribosomal RNA
Source: RNAcentral
GACGAACGCUGGCGGCGUGCCUAAUACAUGCAAGUUGAGCGAUGAAGAUUGGUGCUUGCACCAAUUUGAAGAGCAGCGAACGGGUGAGUAACGCGUGGGUAAUCUGCCUUUGAGCGGGGGACAACAUUUGGAAACGAAUGCUAAUACCGCAUAACAACUUUAAACAUAAGUUUUAAGUUUGAAAGAUGCAAUUGCAUCACUCAAAGAUGAUCCCGCGUUGUAUUAGCUAGUUGGUGAGGUAAAGGCUCACCAAGGCGAUGAUACAUAGCCGACCUGAGAGGGUGAUCGGCCACAUCGGGACUGAGACACGGCCCAAACUCCUACGGGAGGCAGCAGUAGGGAAUCUUUGGCAAUGGACGAAAGUCUGACCGAGCAACGCCGCGUGAGUGAAGAAGGUUUUCGGAUCGUAAAACUCUGUUGGUAGAGAAGAACGUUGGUGAGAGUGGAAAGCUCAUCAAGUGACGGUAACUACCCAGAAAGGGACGGCUAACUACGUG